ACUGAACGCUGGCGGCAGGCCUAACACAUGCAAGUCGAACGAGUGGCGGACGGGUGAGUAAUGUCUGGGAAACUGCCUGAGGGAGGGGGAUAACUACUGGAAACGGUAGCUAAUACCGCAUACCAUCAGAAGUGCCCAGAUGGUAUUAGCUUGUUGGUGGGGUAACGGCUCACGAAGGCGACGAUCCCUAGCUGGUCUGAGAGGAAGACCAGCCACACAGUAAAUGCUACACAGUCCAGACUCCAACUGGAGGCUACAGUAGGGAAUAUUGCACAAUGAGCGCGAGCCUGCUGCAGCCGUACCGCGUGUAUGAAGAAGGCCUUCGGGUUGUAAAGUACGUUCAGCGGGGCGGCAAUGCCCGGAGAAGGAGCACCGGCUAACUCCGUGCCGGCAACCGCGGUAAUAC
RNAcentral lists this ribosomal RNA (406 nucleotides) under uncultured bacterium. RNAcentral's name for it is "partial 16S ribosomal RNA". It matches the Rfam family "Bacterial small subunit ribosomal RNA", at positions 30 to 526 of the family's 1533-position model. The record is from RNAcentral.